This 253-nucleotide ribosomal RNA is filed under the name uncultured bacterium. RNAcentral's name for it is "partial 16S ribosomal RNA". It matches the Rfam family "Bacterial small subunit ribosomal RNA", at positions 524 to 776 of the family's 1533-position model. The record is from RNAcentral.
UACAGAGGUCCCAAGCGUUACUGAGAAUCACUGGGUUUAAAGGGUGCGUAGGUGGUCCGUUAAGUCAGUUGUGAAAUCCCCCGGCUCAACCGGGGAACGGGCGCGGAUACGACCUUCCUUGAGGGGCGUAGGGGGACCUGGAACUUCCGGUGGAGCGGUGAAAUGCGUUGAGAUCGGAAGGAACGCCCGUGGCGAAAGCGAGGUCCUGGACGCCUACUGACGCUGAGACGCGAAAGCCAGGGGAGCGAACGGG